RNAcentral lists this ribosomal RNA (253 nucleotides) under uncultured bacterium. Its description in RNAcentral is "partial 16S ribosomal RNA". It matches the Rfam family "Bacterial small subunit ribosomal RNA", at positions 524 to 776 of the family's 1533-position model. The record is from RNAcentral.
UACAGAGGUCCCAAGCGUUGUUCGGAUUCACUGGGCGUAAAGGGUGCGUAGGUGGUGAGGUAAGUCGGAUGUGAAAGCUCGGAGCUCAACUCCGAAAUGGCAUUGGAAACUACCUUGCUCGAGGGAUGGAGGGGGGACUGGAAUUCUCGGUGUAGCAGUGAAAUGCGUAGAUAUCGUAAGGAAGACCAGUGGCGAAGGCGAAUCUCUGGACAGUUACUGACACUGAGGCACGAAGGCCAGGGGAGCAAACGGG